This 551-nucleotide ribosomal RNA is filed under the name uncultured fungus. Its description in RNAcentral is "SSU rRNA". It matches the Rfam family "Eukaryotic small subunit ribosomal RNA", at positions 20 to 575 of the family's 1831-position model. Lineage: Eukaryota; Fungi. The record is from RNAcentral.
GUAGUCAUAUGCUUGUCUCAAAGAUUAAGCCAUGCAUGUCUAAGUAUAAGCAAUUAUACCGCGAAACUGCGAAUGGCUCAUUAAAUCAGUUAUCGUUUAUUUGAUAGUACCUUACUACAUGGAUAACCGUGGUAAUUCUAGAGCUAAUACAUGCUAAAAAUCCCGACUUCGGAAGGGAUGUAUUUAUUAGAUUAAAAACCAAUGCCCUUCGGGGCUCUCUGGUGAUUCAUAAUAACUUCUCGAAUCGCACGGCCUUGCGCCGGCGAUGGUUCAUUCAAAUUUCUGCCCUAUCAACUUUCGACGGCUGGGUCUUGGCCAGCCGUGGUGACAACGGGUAACGGAGGGUUAGGGCUCGACCCCGGAGAAGGAGCCUGAGAAACGGCUACUACAUCCAAGGAAGGCAGCAGGCGCGCAAAUUACCCAAUCCCGACACGGGGAGGUAGUGACAAUAAAUACUGAUACAGGGCUCUUUCGGGUCUUGUAAUUGGAAUGAGUACAAUUUAAAUCCCUUAACGAGGAACAAUUGGAGGGCAAGUCUGGUGCCAGCAGCC